This 428-nucleotide ribosomal RNA is filed under the name Lomentospora prolificans. Its description in RNAcentral is "Scedosporium prolificans Eukaryotic large subunit ribosomal RNA". It matches the Rfam family "Eukaryotic large subunit ribosomal RNA", at positions 451 to 900 of the family's 3401-position model. The record is from Rfam by way of RNAcentral. Lineage: Eukaryota; Fungi; Ascomycota; Sordariomycetes; Microascales; Microascaceae.
CGAAUCAGCCGUCGCUCGUCGGCGGCGCAUUUCGGCGGGCUCAGGCCAGCAUCAGUUCGCUGUAGGGGGAGAAAGGCGGUAGGAAUGUGGCUCUUCGGAGUGUUAUAGCCUGCCGUGUAAUACCCCUCGGCGGACUGAGGACCGCGCAUCUGCAAGGAUGCUGGCGUAAUGGUUGUCAGCGACCCGUCUUGAAACACGGACCAAGGAGUCGUCCUAAUAUGCGAGUGUUCGGGUGUAAAACCCCUACGCGUAAUGAAAGUGAACGGAGGUGAGAGCUUCGGCGCAUCAUCGACCGAUCCUGAUGUUCUCGGAUGGAUUUGAGUAUGAGCAUAUUGGGCCGGACCCGAAAGAAGGUGAACUAUGCCUGUAUAGGGUAAAGCCAGAGGAAACUCUGGUGGAGGCUCGCAGCGGUUCUGACGUGCAAAUCG